AGCACUGCUGUCACCCUCCUGGACUUGAGUGGACUGUUUGAUAUCUUAAAAAGAUUCUUCUCCAUUACAAGUUAUUACAAGAUAUUGAAUAUAGUUCCCUGUGCUAUACGGUGCUGUGCUCAGCACUGGAGUCGAGAUGAAGAUUUCCCAUCUUCAAGGAGCUCACAGACCAUGAAUUUAAUGAAUACCUGCACAACAGUAUUGUUUCCUCUUAAUUACCAUAACUCAAGAGGAUGAUAAAAGAGAAGAUCACAUGAAUGUGUGCAAUGAACCUAGCCCAGUGCCUGGCACGGAGUGGACACUCAAUCAUCUUUCCAGAAGGAUGACACAAGAGCAGAG
Long non-coding RNA from Eubalaena glacialis (North Atlantic right whale), 339 nucleotides. RefSeq lists it as uncharacterized. The transcript is spliced from 4 exons. Lineage: Eukaryota; Metazoa; Chordata; Mammalia; Artiodactyla; Balaenidae. The record is from RefSeq and is a predicted model, not a curated record.